AAGAAAGGCUGGAAUAUUGCCUGAUAGCUUGAUCUGCCCAUUCUAAUGCAUCGAACCAAUCAGUUUCUGCUUCGAAAGUUUGUAGAUGGGAAGCAGUUUGUGGUGCAAGGGGAAACUUCUUCAAAUUCCAAAGGACAAAUGAUAGGUAUAUCGCCUUUGUAGAAGCUUGUUAGACUGUCCAAGUCGAUCAAUUUGAGAGUUUUGAGUUGAGGUAACAAACAGGAAUGAUCGCCAGCUGGCACUUCAUGUUCAUUUUCUCCUCCAACUAUUUCCUUCAAACUGGAGCAAGACUCUACAGAAAGAUGUUCAAGU
RNAcentral lists this long non-coding RNA (312 nucleotides) under Aquilegia coerulea. Its description in RNAcentral is "long non-coding RNA (ACOE_LNC001060)". Lineage: Eukaryota; Viridiplantae; Streptophyta; Magnoliopsida; Ranunculales; Ranunculaceae. The record is from RNAcentral.